RNAcentral lists this ribosomal RNA (42 nucleotides) under Beauveria bassiana. RNAcentral's name for it is "partial 28S ribosomal RNA". The record is from RNAcentral. Lineage: Eukaryota; Fungi; Ascomycota; Sordariomycetes; Hypocreales; Cordycipitaceae.
GACUACCCGCUGAACUUAAGCAUAUCAAUAGGCCGGAGGAAA